This is a long non-coding RNA of Solanum tuberosum (potato), 4859 nucleotides long. RefSeq lists it as uncharacterized. The record is from RefSeq and is a predicted model, not a curated record. The transcript is spliced from 3 exons. NCBI's taxonomy places the organism in Eukaryota, Viridiplantae, Streptophyta, Magnoliopsida, Solanales, Solanaceae.
CUCAAUUAGGACAUUAUUUUCACCAAUGUGUGUUGUAUUCCCUAUUGACUCCUUUGUCUUUUAUGGUAGUUUCUCAAUUAGGACAUUAUUUUAUUUUCACACAUAGUUUCUCAAUUAGGACAUUAUUUUCACCAAUGUGUGAUGUACUCUGCUGCCAUGAAGUUCUUAGUUUAGAUGCUUAUGUUCUUAUGGUGAUCCAAUUGAUAAGUUCUCUUAUGGUGAUAAGGUCUCUUACUCUCUUAUGGCUUUGGAUACCUGAGAAGUACUUGACCAAUUCUAGAUCUUUUGGUAGUGAUGUAAAAUAUUUCGAUAGUGGCAUAAAAUACUUCUCAACUUUUGUUCUUUUAGCUACUUAUCUUCUCUGCUUUCAUUUUUUUUUGUCAUCCCACUAAUUUUGGUUGAAUGGAUGUGUAGACCAUGUGGUGACACUGUUAUGGACGUUCAGAUUUGGAAAUUUAAAAUCUUGGUUAACCAACAUGUGAUCCUUUGCCUCCUUUUGGUCUUUUUGGUGCUUGCAUUGCAAGUUGGAUGUUUUUUGGCUCUGACAAAAGGGGGGGUUUCAGUCUUGUCAAUGUAAUCUCCAGUGAUUACUCAGGUGGUUUGGGGUUUGUCAGGUUUUCUCUGAACCGCUCCCUUCUUUCUGUUCUUGCAGCCAUUGCUUACAGAGCAGUGAAUUCUUCUUUUCACGGAGCGGCUAUGUUUUGUUGGUUUGCUUGAGAUUUCUUUAGUCAAGUCUCUUAUAAUUAUGGAUAUUUUGGAUUCAAUUUUCUUCCAUAAUGGGCCUUUGUCUUUGUCAAAACAAGUGUUGUAUGAAGUUUCUCAACUAGGGCAUUAUUUUUCACCGGUGUGUGUUGUAUUCUGCUGUCGUGAAGUUCAGUCCAGACACUUAUGUUCUUUGAUCAUCCAAUUGAUGAGGUCUUCUAUGGCUAUAGAUGCUUGAUAAGUACUCGGCCAAUUCUAGAUCUCAUUUGAUAGUGGCGUAAAAUACUUCUUUACUUUAAUUCUCUAGCUACUUAGUUAUCUUCUCUGUUUCCAUAGGUUUUUCGUUAUCACACUGAUUUGUUUUGGUUGAAUGGAUGUGUAGUAGAUCAUAUGAUGACACUGUUAUGGACGUUCAAAAUUUAGAAAUUUCAAAGCUUGGUUUAUCAACAUGUGAUCCUCUGCCACCUUUUGGUCUUUUUGGUGCUUGCACAACAAUCUGGAUAUUGUCCGGGCUUCGACAGAAGGGGGUUUUCAGUCUCUUCUAUGGCAUUUCUAGUGAUUACUUAGGUGAUUUGGGGUUCCUCAGAUUUGCACUUAACUGUUCCCUUCUUUCUGUUCAUGCAGCCAUUGGUUGCAGGGCAGUGAAUUAUUCUUUCCAUGGAGUGGCCGUGUUUGCCAGUUUGUGUUGAGGUUUCUUUAGUUUAAGUUUUUAUGAGUAUCAAGAUUUUCGAUUCAUUUUUCUUCAGUAGUUUCUCGACUAAGAUAAUAUCUUUCACUAGUGUGUGUUGUUAUUCUGCCGCCGUGAAGUUUUUAAUGCAGACACUAUGUUCUUCGAUGAUCCAACUGAUAAGGUCUCUUAUGGCUAUGCACACUUGAUAAGUACUCAUCCAAUUUUGGAUCUUUUCUUUAGACAACGCCAUAAAUGCUCCUCUACAUCUGGUCUUCUAGGUACAGAUAUUUUGGUUAUCACAACUUGUUUUUUUGUUUGGAUGCAUGGAUGUGCAGACUAUAUUGUGACAGUAAUAGAGGUUAAGAUUUGGAGAUUUUAAAGGUUGAUAUCCAGUAAUGGCUAUGGACACUUGAUAAGUACUCAUCCAAUUUUGGAUUUUUUCUUUAGACAGCACCAUAAGUGGUCAUCUACAUCUGGUCUUCUAGGUACAGAUAUUUUGGUUAUCACAACUUAUUUUUUUGUUUGGAUUCAUGGAUGUGCAGACUAUAUUGUGACAGUAAUAGAGGUUAAGAUUUGGAGAUUUUAAAGGUUGAUAUCCAGUAUGGUAUCUCUGUAUACUCUUGGUCUUUUUGGUUCUUGCACUGCAAUUUAGAUAUAUUGGUCAGGGCUUCAACAAAAAAAGGGUUUUAAAUCUUGUCUAUAUGGCAUCUCUAGUGAUUUCUUGGAUGAUAUGGGUUUGUAUCUUCUUUUUGUACUUGCAACCAUUGCAUCUUAUAGAGCUAUGAAAUAUUCUUUUCAUGGAGCGGCUUUCUUUGUCCAUUUAUGAGGUUUCCUUGGUUCAGGCUUUUAUGAUUUCUGAUAUUUUCAAUUAAAAUAGUUAUUUUAACGUUGGUGUGUGUUGUAUUCUACUGCCAUUUUUAGUGUUCAGUCCAGAUGCAAUGGCCCAAUUUGAUGAGAUUCUUGAUGGUUGAUGGUUAUGGUCCCUUGGACACCUGACAAGAACUCAAUUUUGGAUCUUUAAUGGUCUUCUCUUUUGGUGUCCUCACUGCUCAUUUUCUCUGCUUCAUUCUUCGUGUAUUACGCUAGCUUGAUUUUGUUUUGAGAGGUUAUGACUUGGAAGAUUUUGAAGGUUGGUGUCCAGUGUGCAUUCCUGUGCACCCUGUUUCUUGGCCAUGUUGGUGCUUGCACUACAAUCUAGAGAUUAUCAAGCUUCGAAGGUGGUUCUCCAUUUUGUUUGGUAUUUGUGGUGAAUUCUGAGGUGGUACGGUCUUCACUAGAUCUGCACUUGAACUGUUCCAUUUUUCUGUGCUUGUAGCUGAUGGGUCUUACAGAGGGAUAGGUUCUUCUUUUCAUGGACCGGCAUGGUCUGUCAAUUUUGUGUUGAGAUUUUUUGUUCGAUGCUUCUAAUGAUUAUUGAGAUCUUCAAUUCAGUUUUCUUCCCUAAUCAGAAAGGUGCCCUUCUCUCCACUGCUUCACUAGGGUGUAUUUUGCUGCCAUAUUUGUUUUUCAAUAGUCCAGAUGCUUAUGUUCUUUGGUGAUCCAACUGAUGAGAUCUCCAUGGUUAUGGGGACAACAUAUGAUAAGUGUAUUUAAACUCAAUCGUGCUCUUUUGAUGGCCCUGUAAUGCACUCUUGUGCUUUUCAUGUUCUCGCUACUUACCUUCUCUGAGUUCGUAUAGCCUACCAGUUGAUUUAGUUUGGUUGGAUGAAUGUCUGUAGGCUACAUGGUGGUAGUAUAGCCUACCAGUUCGUAUAACUUUUCAUGUUCUGUUACUUAUUUGGAUAUUUUGUAGUUUGGUUUCGGUGUGCAUCCUGUUGAUCAUGUCUCUUGCCAUUUUGAUGCUUGCAGUGCUAUCUGGAUAUUGGAUAUCACCAGGCAUCAAGAAAAGGGUGCUUUGCAAUCUUAUCUUGUUUGGCAUAUCUAGUGAUCUCUCCUGCGUGUGUGUACCCUGUUCCUUUGCCAUAUUGGUACUUGUGCUUGCACUGCAAUUUGGAUAUCAUCAGGCUCUGUCAAGGGAGUUAUGCAAUCUUGUCUGGCAUCUCUAGUGAUCUCUUCUAUGUGGCAUGGGUUUCGCAGCCUGCGCUUUAACUGUUCCCUUCUUUUGUGCUUGUGUUGUUGUAUCUUUCAAGAUCAUUGAAGUCUUCCUUUCAUGGAGCAGCCUUGUUUGUCUUAGUGUUGAAGUUUCGUGAGUUCAGUCCUUGUAUUAGUAUCUAACUUUUUGAUUCAGUUUUCUUCCCUGGUCAGAGAGAUCCCCUUAUCUGGUUGUCAGAAGGGCUGUUAAAUGGAAGUUUCAAUUACGUUAACUCUCUCCACAGGUGCAUUUUCAGCUUUCAGUCCAGAUGCUUUAUAUUUUGAGAUGAUCCAACUGAUGAGGUCUCUUAUGUUGGAGAUCUCUCCCCUACUAUUUUUUUGAAACAUGUAUAUUAUUUUCAGAUAUUCAAUCCUUUGAGGAGUUGCUUCAGACUAUUAGCUAUUAUGUAGAACUAUAAUAUAAAAAGAGAGUUCCUGCACACUUUUUUCCUCCGUAAAACAUUGUCAUUUGAACAGUGUUUAGCACCAAAGACCGAGCUUAUCCAUUGAAUCUCGAACAAAUGAAGUAAAAAACUUGGCUCAUCAUUUGUGUAACAUGCCAUUUACACUCUUUAUGUUAUUUAUAUCAACACAGAGGUAACUAUUUUUUUUUGUGUAAAAUAUUUUCUGAUGAGAUAUCCUUGUAAAUCCAUUACAUGUCAGAUCAUCAUGCAAGUUGGGAAGUUUAUCAAUGGAUCUUGUUCUUCUAAGUACUCUUCUGAGUUAAGUUUUGUACUAAUUUUCUUAAUACUAUUGAAAUUGCUAUUGUUUAUAGAACAUUGUUGUUCUGUCAUAGGCCAUAGUGAUCCGGGAGUCCCGUGUGAAGGGCUCUCGCUCAACGGAUCAAAGGUACGCCAGUGAUAACAGGCUGAUGAAUCCAAAGAGCUCUUACCGACGAAGUCGUUUGGCACCUCGGAUUUCUAAACAUCUUAUUAUCAUAUAACACUAGAACAUAGAACAAUUAAAUGAAACGAAAAGAAAAGAAAGAGAUGACAGAGAAUCCAUUGAGAAGUUUACCUGUAUCCAAGGAAUUGUUCUUUGCUCCUUGGUUUUCUUGUAUUGGUGAUCUAUUAGUAACCUUGCACAAGUUAAAAGUGAUCUUCUAAAAAGCCCUAACUAGACCAAGUUUCGACAGUUUUGAAAAAUGAUGUUGUGUUUUCCUUCAUUCAUCAAAUAUAGCUCUCCAUUCACCAGUUGAACAUGCCUUUUCGGCAUUUGGAAGGUAUUUUGGUCAUUUUCUGUAAGAUGGAAUAAUCUGAUAAGUUUGAAAAGAAUCUUUCUGUAGCUAUUAUGGGAAGUUUAGAUGUGUAUUGCCUAAAUUAUCCUCUCAUCCUUCGUCAUUGUACUUAAUUCUAUCAGUUCCGCAUGUGAGUUAGUGGGGACCAGAAAACCUUUUAACUGUUAAGUAUUAUCUCAC